RNAcentral lists this unclassified non-coding RNA (678 nucleotides) under Melitaea cinxia (Glanville fritillary). Its description in RNAcentral is "misc RNA ENSMCXG00005000493.1". Lineage: Eukaryota; Metazoa; Arthropoda; Insecta; Lepidoptera; Nymphalidae. The record is from RNAcentral.
CCUGAUGCAAACUUUAUUAGAUAUUUGACAGGGUAUUAAAUAAAUCUAUAUUAAUAACCACACAUACAUAUAAAAUUUUAAAAUGAUAAUUACAAUUUAAUGUAAAGAAACAAAUGCAAUUUAAAUUCCAAGCGCAUCCCAUAAGGCUAUUUCUUCAUAGGAGGCAAAGACUAUAAAACGGGUCGAUGUCGAACAUUUACUAUCACAUACAUAUAUUGUAUUCGUCUGUUCACUUGACAAAUAAUUUUUAACGAUCAAAAUGUUCAAACUUUUUAUCUUCGCCUGCUUCCUCGCUCUCGCUGCCGCCAAGCCCGGAGUCCUGCCUCUGGCGUACACCGCUGCAUACACCGCCCCCGUCGCUGCUGCGUACACAGCCCCAGUGGCUGCAGCGUACACCGCUCCAGUGACUUACUCCGCGUACACGGCUUACACCGCACCAGUGGCCUAUUCCGCUUAUACUUACGCGUCUCCAUACUCCGCAUACUACCUUCGCCGUUGAUUUUUCCAAUGUCAUAAAUUUUAUUUAAAAUGAGAUAAAUAAAUAUUAUCAAAAUAUUUUUGUUUUUGUUUAUAGUAAAUUGUAAUGCUUCAUAAAAACAUGCUGUAACUAAAAACCUUUAACAUUAUUAAACGAGUAAUACAAUUGCCGGUUUCUAUUGUUAAUAUUUUACUAGUCUG